This 620-nucleotide ribosomal RNA is filed under the name uncultured archaeon. Its description in RNAcentral is "bacterial SSU rRNA". It matches the Rfam family "Archaeal small subunit ribosomal RNA", at positions 147 to 774 of the family's 1478-position model. The record is from RNAcentral.
UAAUACUCCAUAGAUUAGAGACACUGGAAUGUUCUUUAGUCGAAAGUUCUGGCGCCUUAGGAUGGAUCUGCGGUCGAUUAGGUUGUUGUUGGGGUAACGGCCCAACAAGCCUGUAAUCGAUACGGGUUGUGGGAGCAAGAGCCCGGAGAUGGAAUCUGAGACACGAUUCCAGGCCCUACGGGGCGCAGCAGGCGCGAAAACUUUACAAUGCAGGAAACUGUGAUAAGGGAACUCCGAGUGCCCGUAUACGCGGGCUGUCCAGGUGUUUAAAAAUCAUCUGAAGAAAGGGCCGGGCAAGACCGGUGCCAGCCGCCGCGGUAAUACCGGCGGCUCGAGUGGUGGCCACUAUUAUUGGGCUUAAAGCGUCCGUAGCUGGACCGAUAAGUCUCUUGGGAAAUCCGCCGGCUCAACCGGCGGGCGUCUAAGGGAUACUGUUAGUCUAGGGACCGGGAGAGGUGAGAGGUACUCCGGGGGUAGGAGUGAAAUCCUGUAAUCCCCGGGGGACCACCGAUGGCGAAGGCAUCUCACCAGAACGGCUCCGACAGUGAGGGACGAAAGCUGGGGGAGCGAACCGGAUUAGAUACCCGGUAGUCCCAGCCGUAAAGAUGCGCGUUAGGUGU